Molecule: ribosomal RNA, 363 nt
Filed under: uncultured bacterium
Lineage: Bacteria
Description: bacterial SSU rRNA
Rfam family: Bacterial small subunit ribosomal RNA
Source: RNAcentral
AACGAACGCUGGCGGCAUGCCUAACACAUGCAAGUCGAACGAGACCUUCGGGUCUAGUGGCGCACGGGUGCGCAACGCGUGGGAAUUUGCCUCGGGGUACGGAAUAAACUCAGGGAAACUUGAGCUAAUACCGUAUGAUGUCUUCGGACCAAAGAUUUAUCGCCCUGAGAUAAGCCCGCGUAGGAUUAGCUAGUUGGUGAGGUAAAGAGCUCACCAAGGCGACGAUCCUUAGCUGGUCUGAGAGGAUGAUCAGCCACACUGGGACUGAGACACGGCCCAGACUCCUACGGGAGGCAGCAGUGGGGAAUAUUGGACAAUGGGCGAAAGCCUGAUCCAGCAAUGCCGCGUGAGUGAUGAAGGCCU